Molecule: ribosomal RNA, 497 nt
Filed under: uncultured bacterium
Lineage: Bacteria
Description: partial 16S ribosomal RNA
Rfam family: Bacterial small subunit ribosomal RNA
Source: RNAcentral
GAUGAACGCUGGCGGCGUGCCUAAUACAUGCCAGUCGAGCGAACAGACGAGGAGCUUGCUCCUCUGACGUUAGCGGCGGACGGGUGAGUAACACGUGGAUAACCUACCUAUAAGACUGGGAUAACUUCGGGAAACCGGAGCUAAUACCGGAUAAUAUAUUGAACCGCAUGGUUCAAUAGUGAAAGACGGUUUUGCUGUCACUUAUAGAUGGAUCCGCGCCGCAUUAGCUAGUUGGUAAGGUAACGGCUUACCAAGGCAACGAUGCGUAGCCGACCUGAGAGGGUGAUCGGCCACACUGGAACUGAGACACGGUCCAGACUCCUACGGGAGGCAGCAGUAGGGAAUAUUCCGCAAUGGGCGAAAGCUUGACGGAGCAACGCUGCGUGAGUGAUGAAGGUCUUCGGAUCGUAAAACUCUGUUAUUAGGGAAGAACAAAUGUGUAAGUAACUAUGCACGUCUUGACGGUACCUAAUGAGAAAGCCACGGCUAACUACGUG